GACGCUGGCGGCGUGCCUAAUACAUGCAAGUCGAACGGUCUUUCUAUGGAAGCUUGCUUCCACUGAGAAGAUAGUGGCGAACGGGUGAGUAACACGUGGGUAACCUGCCCAUAAGAGGGGGGAUAACAUCCGGAAACGGGUGCUAAUACCGCAUAGUUUUCUUGAUCGCAUGAUCGGGAAAGGAAAGACGGCCUUUGUGCUGUCGCUUAUGGAUGGACCCGCGGCGUAUUAGUUAGUUGGUGAGGUAAUGGCUCACCAAGACGAUGAUACGUAGCCGACCUGAGAGGGUGAUCGGCCACAUUGGGACUGAGACACGGCCCAAACUCCUACGGGAGGCAGCAGUAGGGAAUCUUCCGCAAUGGACGAAAGUCUGACGGAGCAACGCCGCGUGAGUGAAAGAAGGUUUUCGGAUCGUAAAACUCUGUUGUCAGAGAAGAACAAGUUGGAGAGUAACUGCUCCAGCCUUGACGGUAUCUGACCAGAAAGCCACGGCUAACUACGUGCCAGCCGCCGC
This 514-nucleotide ribosomal RNA is filed under the name uncultured bacterium. Its description in RNAcentral is "bacterial SSU rRNA". It matches the Rfam family "Bacterial small subunit ribosomal RNA", at positions 32 to 518 of the family's 1533-position model. The record is from RNAcentral.